RNAcentral lists this ribosomal RNA (422 nucleotides) under uncultured Aquibacter sp. RNAcentral's name for it is "bacterial SSU rRNA". It matches the Rfam family "Bacterial small subunit ribosomal RNA", at positions 353 to 772 of the family's 1533-position model. The record is from RNAcentral. Lineage: Bacteria; Pseudomonadati; Bacteroidota; Flavobacteriia; Flavobacteriales; Flavobacteriaceae.
AGUGAGGAAUAUUGGACAAUGGGCGAAAGCCUGAUCCAGCCAUGCCGCGUGCAGGAUGAAUGCCCUAUGGGUUGUAAACUGCUUUUAUGUAGGAAGAAUAAAAGCUACGUGUAGCUUGAUGACGGUACUGCAUGAAUAAGGAUCGGCUAACUCCGUGCCAGCAGCCGCGGUAAUACGGAGGAUCCAAGCGUUAUCCGGAAUCAUUGGGUUUAAAGGGUCUGUAGGCGGGCUAUUAAGUCAGAGGUGAAAGUUUGCUGCUCAACAGUAAAAUUGCCUUUGAUACUGAUAGUCUUGAGUUAUUUAGAAGUGGUUAGAAUGUGUAGUGUAGCGGUGAAAUGCAUAGAUAUUACACAGAAUACCGAUUGCGAAGGCAGAUCACUAUGAAUAUACUGACGCUGAGAGACGAAAGCGUGGGGAGCGAA